This is a transfer RNA of Camelus ferus (Wild Bactrian camel), 73 nucleotides long. It matches the Rfam family "tRNA". Rfam says of the family: Transfer RNA (tRNA) molecules are approximately 80 nucleotides in length. The record is from Rfam. Lineage: Eukaryota; Metazoa; Chordata; Mammalia; Artiodactyla; Camelidae.
GAGGGUAUAGCUCAGUGGCAGAGCUGCAUGCUUAGCACACACAAGGUCCUGGGUUCAAUCUCCAGUACCUCCA